UACGUAGGGUGCGAGCGUUGUCCGGAAUUAUUGGGCGUAAAGAGCUCGUAGGCGGCUUGUCGCGUCGGAUGUGAAAGCCCGGGGCUUAACUCCGGGUCUGCAUUCGAUACGGGCAGGCUAGAGUUCGGUAGGGGAGAUCGGAAUUCCUGGUGUAGCGGUGAAAUGCGCAGAUAUCAGGAGGAACACCGGUGGCGAAGGCGGAUCUCUGGGCCGAUACUGACGCUGAGACACGAAAGCGUGGGUAGCAAACAGG
This 253-nucleotide ribosomal RNA is filed under the name uncultured bacterium. Its description in RNAcentral is "partial 16S ribosomal RNA". It matches the Rfam family "Bacterial small subunit ribosomal RNA", at positions 524 to 776 of the family's 1533-position model. The record is from RNAcentral.